This 305-nucleotide ribosomal RNA is filed under the name uncultured Russula. RNAcentral's name for it is "eukaryotic LSU rRNA". Lineage: Eukaryota; Fungi; Basidiomycota; Agaricomycetes; Russulales; Russulaceae. The record is from RNAcentral.
AACGCACCUUGCGCCUCUUGGUAUUCCGAGGGGCACACCCGUUUGAGUGUCGUGACAUCCUCAACCUUCUCGAUCUUUGCGAUCGGAGAAGGCUUGGACAUUGGGGGUUUAUGCUGGCCUCGUUCGAAGCCAGCUCCCCUUAAAUGGAUUAGUGGGGUUCGAUUUGCCGAUCCUCGACGUUGAUAAGGUGUUUCUACGUCUCGGGUUGGGCACUGUCUUUCGGGAACCUGCUUCUAACCGUCUCGCGAGAGACUACGCGUUCGAACCUUGACCUCAAAUCGGGUGAGACUACCCGCUGAACUUAA